RNAcentral lists this ribosomal RNA (384 nucleotides) under Triticum aestivum (bread wheat). RNAcentral's name for it is "partial small subunit ribosomal RNA". The record is from RNAcentral. Lineage: Eukaryota; Viridiplantae; Streptophyta; Magnoliopsida; Poales; Poaceae.
AUGGCGGAAGGCGGAGAAGGCUCGGGCAGCCAGACCAAGUACCGUGGUGUGCGGCGCCGGCCCUGGGGCAAGUUUGCGGCGGAGAUCCGCGACUCAAGCCGGCAUGGCGUUCGCAUGUGGUUGGGCACCUUCGAUACCGCAGAGGAGGCGGCAGCGGCGUACGACCGCUCCGCCUACUCUAUGCGAGGCAGGAACGCUGUCCUCAACUUCCCCAACCAGGCGCAUGUCUAUGAGACCGAGGCGUCGCCUGGCGGUGGUGCUGGUGCUGGUGCUGGUCCUUCUCCGUCGGUGGCGAUGACGAAGGUUAUUGAGUUGGAGUGCCUGGAAGACGGCGUGCUGCAGGAGAUGCUCGAUGGCCACGAUAAAUCAAGCAAGAGCAAAUAG